Molecule: ribosomal RNA, 253 nt
Filed under: uncultured bacterium
Lineage: Bacteria
Description: partial 16S ribosomal RNA
Rfam family: Bacterial small subunit ribosomal RNA
Source: RNAcentral
UACGAAGGGGGCUAGCGUUGCUCGGAAUCACUGGGCGUAAAGGGUACGUAGGCGGGUCUUUAAGUCAGGGGUGAAAUCCUGGAGCUCAACUCCAGAACUGCCUUUGAUACUGAGGAUCUUGAGUUCGGGAGAGGUGAGUGGAACUGCGAGUGUAGAGGUGAAAUUCGUAGAUAUUCGCAAGAACACCAGUGGCGAAGGCGGCUCACUGGCCCUAUACUGACGCUGAGGCACGAAAGCGUGGGGAGCAAACAGG